RNAcentral lists this ribosomal RNA (356 nucleotides) under uncultured organism. RNAcentral's name for it is "bacterial SSU rRNA". It matches the Rfam family "Bacterial small subunit ribosomal RNA", at positions 45 to 433 of the family's 1533-position model. The record is from RNAcentral.
GGCUUAACACAUGCAAGUCGAACGCCCCGCAAGGGGAGUGGCAGACGGGUGAGUAACGCGUGGGAAUCUACCCAUCCCUACGGAAUAACGCAUGGAAACGUGUGCUAAUACCGUAUACGCCCUACGGGGGAAAGAUUUAUCGGGGAUGGAUGAGCCCGCGUUGGAUUAGCUAGUUGGUGGGGUAAAGGCCUACCAAGGCGACGAUCCAUAGCUGGUCUGAGAGGAUGAUCAGCCACAUUGGGACUGAGACACGGCCCAAACUCCUACGGGAGGCAGCAGUGGGGAAUAUUGGACAAUGGGCGCAAGCCUGAUCCAGCCAUGCCGCGUGAGUUUAAGGCCUUAGGGUUGUAAAGCUC